UACGUAGGGUGCGAGCGUUAAUCGGAAUUACUGGGCGUAAAGCGUGCGCAGGCGGUUUUUUAAGUCAGAUGUGAAAUCCCCGGGCUUAACCUGGGAACUGCGUUUGAAACUACAAGGCUAGAGUGUAGCAGAGGGGGGUGGAAUUCCACGUGUAGCAGUGAAAUGCGUAGAGAUGUGGAGGAACACCGGUGGCGAAGGCGGCGCACUGGCUCGUAACUGACGCUGAGGCACGAAAGCGUGGGGAUCAAACAGG
RNAcentral lists this ribosomal RNA (253 nucleotides) under uncultured bacterium. RNAcentral describes it as "partial 16S ribosomal RNA". It matches the Rfam family "Bacterial small subunit ribosomal RNA", at positions 524 to 776 of the family's 1533-position model. The record is from RNAcentral.